CGUCGGUGGACCCCCACUGUUGCGGCCUCAAAGCGACCCCAGU
This 43-nucleotide ribosomal RNA is filed under the name Boehmeria clidemioides var. clidemioides. Its description in RNAcentral is "partial 28S ribosomal RNA". The record is from RNAcentral. Lineage: Eukaryota; Viridiplantae; Streptophyta; Magnoliopsida; Rosales; Urticaceae.